CUCCGAAAGAGCUCACCAUGUCGAGAGCUCUGUUUUUCCUGGCAUUCCUCACUUUCUGCUCAGAUGUCAGCUCAUACGCGACUCUGACGCAGCCUCCGUCCCAGUCUGCCAGACUGGGGAACCCAGUGAGACUCACCUGCACUCUCAGCAGUGAGCACCAGAGCUAUGUUGUUGCUUGGUAUCAACAGAAAGUCGGGGAGGCACCGCGGCUUCUUGUAUACCGUGAUAGCACAAGAGCCAGUGGGAUCUCCGAUCGGUUCACUGGCUCCAAAUCGGGUGGGGAGCGCUAUUUGAGCAUUAGUGGUGUCCGGGUAGAGGAUGAGGCCACCUACUACUGCGGUGAAGCUGAAGGCAGUGGGAGCAGCUACAUGUAA
This is a non-coding RNA of Hemicordylus capensis (graceful crag lizard), 374 nucleotides long. Lineage: Eukaryota; Metazoa; Chordata; Lepidosauria; Squamata; Cordylidae. The record is from the annotation of a RefSeq genome assembly.